AUGUUAGUGAGUUCGGAGGCUUCCGUUCCUGCUCAGUAAAUAUUUUGAGUGUCCGGUUGUUUUUAUUUUGGCAGAAACUCUGCUAGGUGUUGGGAACAGACCGAUCACAGGAAGAGACCUGGUGUUCUCGCCCUCCUAGAAUUCGGAUUCUAGCAGAUACACGUCAGACAAACCCUCACAACAACUAAAACAAACGUCCACCCUGCUAAGUGCAGGCAAGGAAGGUGCCCGGGGCUUCUAAUGGCUUAGAGCAAAGGAACGUGGCCUAGUCUGCACGCUGAGUUAGGGACAGCUUCUCGAGGAAGUGACUUUGGAGCUGAGAUGUAGGAGAAGAGUGUUGAGAGAAGAUCAGGGGCUCAAAAGAUGGUGGCUGUUUACUGCACGCGCCGUUGGCCGGAGGCCACUGGGUUCCGACUCCUGGACUGAGGUCUUGCUAAGGCGCCGUGUGGGUAUUAUAGGCAGCCUGCUCUGUGAGGGCUGUGCUCGUCAGACCUGGAUGUGAGAUCACCUCACUGCCGAAAGUGUGGUUUGCAGACCAGCAGCAUCAGCACCUCCUGGGACUUUAUGAGAAAUGCUGAACCUCAGGCCCCACCCCAGACCUACUGAACCAGAAUCUGCAGCUUAACAAGAGCUCCAGGUGAUUCCUGUGUGCUUCCUAGUUUCAGAAGCUCUGCUGUGGCCUGACCAUGUGUUAGAAGGGAUGUGCCGUGGCCUGUGUGGUCCAGAGGGUGGGGACUGUGUUGGUCUACUCUGUCCCUGUGAAGGUGGGUCUUGACUACAGGUGCACCUUCCUCCCAUGACGGGGAUUAGGAUACCAGGCUCUCAGAGCUCAACAUGCCAUCUGUUAACAGCAGCACAUCUCUCCGAGAAGGAGCCUCUGGUCAGAGGUGUUGAAGAAGUGCUGCACAUGGAAUUUGUGAUUGUUAGCUUCGUGUGUCAACUUGACCGAGCCGUGGGGUGCCCAGAUAUUUGGCCAGACAUUAUUGGAGAUAUUUCUGUGAGGAUGUUUUCAGAGGAUAGUCACAUUUAAAUUGGUAGACUGAGUAAAGCAGAUUGCCCUCCCCAGUGUGGGUGGGCUUUAUCCAAUCAGUUGAAGGCUUGGAUAAAACACAAAGAGUGAUCCUCCCCCAAAGAAGCAGGAAUUCCACCUGCCUGACUGCCUUCAAACUGGGACAUCAGCUUCUUCUUGCUUUCCUGCUUGAACCCAACACUGGCUCUUCCUGGAUCUUGAGCCCACUGGCCUCUGGACGAGAACUAUGCCAUCACCUCUCUUGGGUCUCCAGCUCAUUGACUCACCUAUAGAUCUUGGGAUUUGUCAACGCCCAUAAUCACAUUAGUCAUUUCCUUAUAAUAAAUCUCUG
Hyaena hyaena (striped hyena) is the source of this 1361-nucleotide long non-coding RNA. RefSeq lists it as uncharacterized. Lineage: Eukaryota; Metazoa; Chordata; Mammalia; Carnivora; Hyaenidae. The record is from RefSeq and is a predicted model, not a curated record. The transcript has 3 exons.